This 1028-nucleotide ribosomal RNA is filed under the name Fasciatispora petrakii. RNAcentral describes it as "SSU rRNA". It matches the Rfam family "Eukaryotic small subunit ribosomal RNA", at positions 73 to 1111 of the family's 1831-position model. Lineage: Eukaryota; Fungi; Ascomycota; Sordariomycetes; Xylariales; Fasciatisporaceae. The record is from RNAcentral.
AUUAUACGGCGAAACUGCGAAUGGCUCAUUAAAUCAGUUAUCGUUUAUUUGAUAGUACCUUACUACUUGGAUACCUGUGGUAAUUCUAGAGCUAAUACAUGCUAAAAAUCCCGACUCACGAAGGGAUGUAUUUAUUAGAUUAAAAACCAAUGCCCUUCGGGGCUUUCUGGUGAUUCAUAAUAACUUCUCGAAUCGCAUGGCCUUGCGCCGGCGAUGGUUCAUUCAAAUUUCUGCCCUAUCAACUUUCGAUGGCAGGGUCUUGGCCUGCCAUGGUUACAACGGGUAACGGAGGGUUAGGGCUCGACCCCGGAGAAGGAGCCUGAGAAACGGCUACUACAUCCAAGGAAGGCAGCAGGCGCGCAAAUUACCCAAUCCCGAUACGGGGAGGUAGUGACAAUAAAUACUGAUACAGGGCUCUUUUGGGUCUUGUAAUUGGAAUGAGUACAAUUUAAAUCCCUUAACGAGGAAGAAUUGGAGGGCAAGUCUGGUGCCAGCAGCGGCGGUAAUUCCAGCUCCAAUAGCGUAUAUUAAAGUUGUUGCAGUUAAAAAGCUCGUAGUUGAACCUUGGGCCUGGCUGGCCGGUCCGCCUCACCGCGUGCACUGGUUCGGCCGGGCCUUUCCCUCUGGGGAGCCUCAUGCCCUUCACUGGGUGUGAUGGGGAACCAGGACUUUUACUGUGAAAAAAUUAGAGUGUUCAAAGCAGGCCUAUGCUCGAAUACAUCAGCAUGGAAUAAUAGAAUAGGACGUGUGGUUCUAUUUUGUUGGUUUCUAGGACCGCCGUAAUGAUUAAUAGGGACAGUCGGGGGCAUCAGUAUUCAAUUGUCAGAGGUGAAAUUCUUGGAUUUAUUGAAGACUAACUACUGCGAAAGCAUUUGCCAAGGAUGUUUUCAUUAAUCAGGAACGAAAGUUAGGGGAUCGAAGACGAUCAGAUACCGUCGUAGUCUUAACCAUAAACUAUGCCGACUAGGGAUCGGACGAUGUUAUUUUUUGACUCGUUCGGCACCUUACGAGAAAUCAAAGUCUUUGGG